AGUGAAAUUUAUGGGCCAUAAGUAACUCUGUUUUAACUUUUUGAGGAACUGCCAGACUGUUUUAUAAAGUGACUUUACCAUUUUACAUUCCUAUCAGCAAU
RNAcentral lists this microRNA precursor (101 nucleotides) under Marmota monax (woodchuck). The record is from RNAcentral. Lineage: Eukaryota; Metazoa; Chordata; Mammalia; Rodentia; Sciuridae.